AGCAAUGGAUUUUGGGACUCUACCGCUUCAUUGGGUUGUACAUGAGCAUGGGUUCGCCUGUGAAUUCUGUCUACCCUCUUUUACUUUGAGGAAAUCAAGGUGUUCAUAGCAGUCGAUUGACUGGAUAGUUUAGCAUGGGAUAAUAGAAGAUGGCAAGCUGCCGUAUCUAUGGUUCUUGAUGGCAUUUUUUGCAAUGAUCAAUGGGAGUGAAUGGGGCUGCCGGUAUUACGGAGCUAGAGGUGAAAUUCUAUGAUUUCCGUAGGACCAACAAAUGCGAAAGCAUCCAGCCAGUGCAUGUCCGUCGAUCAAGAACGAAGGGAGUGGUAUCGAAGAUGAUCAGAUACCGUCGUAGUCACUCCAGUAAACGAUGAUGGCUCGAGGCGGAAGGGCUGUAACGUCAAAAUUGCACUUUUCCGAAUCGUAAGAGAAAUCAAAGCAUUCUAUCUCCGGGGGGAGUAUGGCCGCAAGACUGAAACUUAAAGGAAUUGACGGAAGGGCACCACCAGGCGUGGAACCUGCGGCUUAAUUUGACUCAACACGGGAAAACUUACCGGGUCCGGACAUAGUGAGGAUUGACAGGCUGAGAGGUCUUUCUUGAUUCUGUGGGUGGUGGUGCAUGGGCCGUUCUUAGUUGGUGGAUUGAUUUGUCUGUUUAAUUACGAUAACGAACGAGACGAUCACGAGAAAAUAGGCGAGAAAAUGGAAACAUUUUCUUUUGCCUUCUCUCUCGGAUCGAUGG
This 739-nucleotide ribosomal RNA is filed under the name uncultured eukaryote. Its description in RNAcentral is "bacterial SSU rRNA". It matches the Rfam family "Eukaryotic small subunit ribosomal RNA", at positions 672 to 1426 of the family's 1831-position model. The record is from RNAcentral.